RNAcentral lists this ribosomal RNA (468 nucleotides) under uncultured bacterium. RNAcentral's name for it is "partial 16S ribosomal RNA". It matches the Rfam family "Bacterial small subunit ribosomal RNA", at positions 28 to 507 of the family's 1533-position model. The record is from RNAcentral.
GAUGAACGCUGGCGGCGUGCUUAAUACAUGCAAGUCGAACGGACAGGCGCUGCUUUUGCGGGUUGCACGUGAGGCGAACGGGUGUGUAACACGCGUGUAUCCUGUCCUUGUAUUUGGGGUAACAUUUGGAAACUGCGGCUAAUAUAGGAUAGGAGCUCCUGCUGCAUGUUGGGGGUUGGUAAGUGUCGGCGGUUGGGGCUGGACUCGCGGCUUAUGCGCUUGUUGGGCAGGUAGUGGAUUACAAAGCGUUCGACGGAUAGCCGGCCUGAGAGGGUGGCCGGCCACAAGGGGACUAAGAGAGGGCCCAGACUCCUACGGGAGGCAGCAGGGGAGAGUAUUGCACAAUAGGCGGGAGCCAGAGACAGCGACGCCGCGUGCGGGAUGACGGCCUACGAGGUGUGAACCACUGUCGCCGGUGACGAAGCCGGAGUGACGGUAAUGAGUAAAGAAGCACCGGCUAACUACGUG